Yersinia ruckeri is the source of this 107-nucleotide non-coding RNA. Lineage: Bacteria; Pseudomonadati; Pseudomonadota; Gammaproteobacteria; Enterobacterales; Yersiniaceae. The record is from Rfam.
GAGGUUAAUGACAAAGUGCUCGCUGCAGUGAAAACAGGUGGAUCGUCAAGACACCGUGAAUACGUCCUUGUCAGCUCCUUCCACGCUAUCCCUGGCGCGGGCGUUUG